Molecule: ribosomal RNA, 468 nt
Filed under: uncultured bacterium
Lineage: Bacteria
Description: partial 16S ribosomal RNA
Rfam family: Bacterial small subunit ribosomal RNA
Source: RNAcentral
GACGAACGCUGGCGGCGUGCUUAACACAUGCAAGUCGAACGGAAAGGCCCUGCUUUUGUGGGGUGCUCGAGUGGCGAACGGGUGAGUAACUCGUGAGUAACCUGCUCUUGACUUUGGGAUAACUUCAGGAAACUGGGGCUAAUACUGGCUAGGAGCUCCUGCUGAAUGGUGGGGGUUGGAAAGUUUCGGUGGUUGGGGAUGGACUCGCGGCUUAACAUCUUGUUGGUGGGGUAGUGGCUUACCAAGGAUUUGACGGGUAGCCGGCCUGAGAGGGUGACCAGCCACAUUGGGACUGAGAUACGGCGCAGACUCGUACGGGAGGCAGCAGUGGGGAAUAUUGCACAAUGGGCGGAAGCCUGAUGCAGCAACGCCGCGGGUGUGAUGACGGCCUUCGUGUUGUAAACCGCUUUCGCCUGUGACGAAGCGUGAGUGACGGUAAUGGGUAAAGAAGCACCGGCUAACUACGUG